Molecule: non-coding RNA, 745 nt
Organism: Poeciliopsis prolifica (blackstripe livebearer)
Lineage: Eukaryota; Metazoa; Chordata; Actinopteri; Cyprinodontiformes; Poeciliidae
Source: the annotation of a RefSeq genome assembly
UUCCGCUUCCUGUUGAGCUGCAGGCCGACUCCCCGUCACGUCAUUCAUCAUCACCUCUGAAACUCCAUCAUCAGCUGCACCCUCAACAGUUCAGUCUGCUGCAAGAAUCAUCCAAACAACAAAUGUUCACUUGAGCAAGAAAAAUGAACCCAAUCUUUACCUUGUUUUUCCUUGCAGGUCUCAGUUUGGGGCUUGAGGUCCAUCAGUCUCACUUUGAUCUCUUCAAAAGAACCGGUGAUAAAGUUCACAUUUUCUGCACCCAUAAAAAAACCGACUACAGAGUGAUGCUCUGGUAUCAACGGUCGCCUGGAGACACGGCCAUGAAGCUCAUUGGAUAUUUGCACUACGACAAGCCGUCUAUGGAAGACGGGUAUAAAGAGAACUUUGGGAUCUCUGGAGAUCUGGGAGGGGAUACAGCGAAGAACGGAUCCCUGACGAUCCAAACCGUGAAUCAGAGUCACACUGCUGUUUACUACUGUGCUGCAAGAGAAGCACAAUGACAGAAAUGCUCUCUGCACCUUAACAAAAACUGUGCUGUGUCUUUAUAUCACCAGUGGUUAUUGUAGAAAACUGACACCUGUUUGUGGUUGUAAAGAAAACUCCUGAAAAAUGUGUGAAAGCAGAAGAUUUAGAUUUCCUAUUCAGAGAGAAAAUAAAAACAGCAGAACAGAAAUAAAAACAGCUUUAGAAAAGAAUCAGCAUUGUUUGCACAUGAAUCAGGAGCCUCCCAACCACAAUCACACAC